This 623-nucleotide long non-coding RNA is filed under the name Salmo salar (Atlantic salmon). Its description in RNAcentral is "lncRNA (ENSSSAG00000082493.1)". The record is from RNAcentral. Lineage: Eukaryota; Metazoa; Chordata; Actinopteri; Salmoniformes; Salmonidae.
GUGUGUAUGUGUGUGAGUCUGUGUGUGUUUUCGUUUGUCCAGUGUGCGUGUGUCCAGAAUGUGUUUGUGUGUGUUUGUUCAGUGUGUGUGUUGAGUGUGUGUGUCCAUUUUGUGUCCAGUUUGUGUGUGUUCAGUGUGUGUUCAGUGUGUGUUCAGUGUGUGUGUGUGUGUGUGUGUGUGUGUGUGUGUGUGUCCAGUGUGUGUGUGUGUGUGUGUGUUUGUCCAGUGUGUGUGUGUGUGUGUGUUUGUCCAGUGUGUGUGUGUGUUUGUCCAGUGUGUGUGUGUGUUUGUCCAGUGUGUGUGUGUGUGUGUUUGUCCAGUGUGUGUGUGUGUGUGUGUGUGUUUGUCCAGUGUUUGUGUGUGUGUGUCCAGUGUGUGUGUGUGUGUGUCCAGUGUGUGUGUGUGUGUGUGUGUUUGUCCAGUGUGUGUGUGUGUGUGUGUGUGUCCAGUGUGUGUGUGUGUGUGUGUGUGUCCAGUGUGUGUGUGUGUGUGUGUCCAGUGUGUGUGUGUGUGUCCAGUGUGUGUGUGUGUGUCCAGUGUGUGUGUGUGUGUCCAGUAUGUGUGUGUGUGUGUCCAGUGUGUGUGUGUCCAGUGUGUGUGUGUGUCCAGUGUGUGUGUGUGAG